RNAcentral lists this long non-coding RNA (1451 nucleotides) under Anser brachyrhynchus (Pink-footed goose). Its description in RNAcentral is "lncRNA (ENSABRG00000014914.1)". Lineage: Eukaryota; Metazoa; Chordata; Aves; Anseriformes; Anatidae. The record is from RNAcentral.
UUUAAGUUCCUUCUGGUGUAAAUAAGACCUUCAAAAUUGCUGAUAAGGGGAGAAUUACUAUUAUUUAUUUGUUAUUUUAGAAAUGAGUCAUGUUAAAAUUGGGUAAAUGUGAGGUAAAUACUCUAUUUUGUAACUUCCACUCAACAACUGUUGAGAUGCUGGAGCUUGUAAUUAAUGCAGACUGCUGUGGAAGUUGGUCUCCCCAGGAUGAGUACUGGUCAUCCUGAGAAGCCAGCAAGACUGAAAGCCUGAAGCCACUAGCCCUUGGAGGGGCUGCGCGUCACUGUGGUUUGGGAUAAUGGACACUGACGGCUUCCAAAGAGCUCCAUACCAGGAGCUAGCUGGGUCUAGGAAGAGAUUUCUUAGAAAAGUCAUCAAAAGUGACACAUUAGGGAACUGAUUUUUUGAUGAAAGUGUCUGCUAGAAAACUUCUGACCAUCUGUAUCCUGUUGAACGAUGCAGUUGAUGUUAAGGAUUGAACAGUGCUUCAGUAUCCCUUCUGACCCCAUCCCCUUUAGCUCCCGAAUGCUCGAGCUUACCUCUCACAGCAUCAACAUCCUGUGAAGGUUUCAACUGCGCAGCCAAAAUUCAUGCUGGGCUGGACUGUUCUCUCUGAAGAGAGAGAAGAGUCUUGGCAGCUGCACCUGACAAGCCCCAGUGACUUGCUCUGUGUGCCGAGCAGGGGACACCAGCCUUGCUGCUGCUUUAAAGCAUUGGCAGUCCUCAGCUGGCUGACAGCCCCCGUGCUCUGCCAACAGCAUACUCGCCAGCAUGCUCUGCCUUGUGGGCUGAACGUUAACCUACAGGUGGCUCUUUGCUCACGAAGGUUCUUAAGUGUGAAAGUGUGAAGGUGCUUGUGAUGCCAACUUGUUUCACAGAGCUGGAAUAACGCACUGCUGGGGAGGGCUGAACUGAGAAAGCACUACCUGCUGGUGUGUCGUCUUCAUCAUUCACAUCCUGAGUGCAGAAUGCCAGCUCUGGGAGACCUUACCUGCAGAUCUACCAAAAAAUGUGUGAUGGGAGACCCAAGCAAGUCCAAAAGUGUAUGUGGAACACCACCAGAUUCAGCACGGAGGUUCCCAGGUAACGGGAUGGUCUUAAUGAUAAAAUGGGAAGGGUGGGAGUGUGUGGGGUUAUAUGGAUGCAUAUACAGACUUUAAAUGUUGUUUGAUAAUGUUGCAGUGGUGGUAGCAACACUUCAAAAAUGCACUCUUUAUUGUUCCGAUCCACUGACGUGGAAAAUACAAGUGAGGUAUCUUGGACAAGUGAGGUUUCUUGGCAUUCUGUCACCUGACCAGCCCCGUCUGUCCAGGCCUGUUUCUCAGGCUGGGUACCAAUUGAAUAUAUAUAUUGAUAUACUAAAGGAAGGGCUAGCAAUGAGAAAAGAUUGAUUGACAGAAGAGAAGAUGAUUGCCAGUGUCAAACAGGGAGAAUGCAUGUGCUAUUCCCAG